UACGUAGGGUGCAAGCGUUGUCCGGAAUUAUUGGGCGUAAAGAGCUCGUAGGCGGUUUGUCGCGUCUGCUGUGAAAACUCGGGGCUUAACUCCGGGCCUGCAGUGGGUACGGGCAGACUAGAGUGCGGUAGGGGAGACUGGAAUUCCUGGUGUAGCGGUGAAAUGCGCAGAUAUCUGGAGGAAAACCGGUGGCGAAGGCGGCAUCCUGGACCGAGAUUGACGCUGAGGCGCGAAAGCCAGGGGAGCAAACGGG
This 253-nucleotide ribosomal RNA is filed under the name uncultured bacterium. RNAcentral's name for it is "partial 16S ribosomal RNA". It matches the Rfam family "Bacterial small subunit ribosomal RNA", at positions 524 to 776 of the family's 1533-position model. The record is from RNAcentral.